Molecule: ribosomal RNA, 443 nt
Filed under: uncultured bacterium
Lineage: Bacteria
Description: partial 16S ribosomal RNA
Rfam family: Bacterial small subunit ribosomal RNA
Source: RNAcentral
CCUACGGGUGGCAGCAGUGGGGAAUAUUGGGCAAUGGGCGCAAGCCUGACCCAGCAACGCCGCGUGAAGGAAGAAGGCUUUCGGGUUGUAAACUUCUUUUCUGAGGGACGAAGAAAGUGACGGUACCUCAGGAAUAAGCCACGGCUAACUACGUGCCAGCAGCCGCGGUAAUACGUAGGUGGCAAGCGUUAUCCGGAUUUAUUGGGUGUAAAGGGCGUGUAGGCGGGAAAGCAAGUCAGAUGUGAAAACUCAGGGCUCAACCCUGAGCCUGCAUUUGAAACUGUUUUUCUUGAGUGCUGGAGAGGCAAUCGGAAUUCCGUGUGUAGCGGUGAAAUGCGUAGAUAUACGGAGGAACACCAGUGGCGAAGGCGGAUUGCUGGACAGUAACUGACGCUGAAGCACGAAAGCGUGGGUAUCGAACAGGAUUAGAUACCCUAGUAGUC